GGGGCCUUAGCUCAGUUGGUAGAGCGCCGCCUUUGCAAGGCGGAUGUCAGGAGUUCGAAUCUCCUAGGCUCCAC
Molecule: transfer RNA, 74 nt
Filed under: Tsukamurella paurometabola
Lineage: Bacteria; Bacillati; Actinomycetota; Actinomycetes; Mycobacteriales; Tsukamurellaceae
Also listed under: 14 other names
Description: tRNA-Ala(tgc)
Rfam family: tRNA
About the family: Transfer RNA (tRNA) molecules are approximately 80 nucleotides in length. Their secondary structure includes four short double-helical elements and three loops (D, anti-codon, and T loops). Further hydrogen bonds mediate the characteristic L-shaped molecular structure. tRNAs have two regions of fundamental functional importance: the anti-codon, which is responsible for specific mRNA codon recognition, and the 3' end, to which the tRNAs corresponding amino acid is attached (by aminoacyl-tRNA synthetases). tRNAs cope with the degeneracy of the genetic code in two manners: having more than one tRNA (with a specific anti-codon) for a particular amino acid; and 'wobble' base-pairing, i.e. permitting non-standard base-pairing at the 3rd anti-codon position.
Source: RNAcentral